AGUGAACGCUGGCGGUAGGCCUAACACAUGCAAGUCGAACGGCAGCACAGUAAGAGCUUGCUCUUACGGGUGGCGAGUGGCGGACGGGUGAGGAAUACAUCGGAAUCUACCUUUUCGUGGGGGAUAACGUAGGGAAACUUACGCUAAUACCGCAUACGACCUACGGGUGAAAGCAGGGGAUCUUCGGACCUUGCGCGAUUGAAUGAGCCGAUGUCGGAUUAGCUAGUUGGCGGGGUAAAGGCCCACCAAGGCGACGAUCCGUAGCUGGUCUGAGAGGAUGAUCAGCCACACUGGAACUGAGACACGGUCCAGACUCCUACGGGAGGCAGCAGUGGGGAAUAUUGGACAACGGGCGCAAGCCUGAUCCAGCCAUACCGCGUGGGUGAAGAAGGCCUUCGGGUUGUAAAGCCCUUUUGUUGGGAAAGAAAAGCAGCAGGUUAAUACCCCGCUGUUCUGACGGUACCCAAAGAAUAAGCACCGGCUAACUUCGUG
RNAcentral lists this ribosomal RNA (492 nucleotides) under uncultured bacterium. RNAcentral's name for it is "partial 16S ribosomal RNA". It matches the Rfam family "Bacterial small subunit ribosomal RNA", at positions 29 to 507 of the family's 1533-position model. The record is from RNAcentral.